AAAAGAAGGAGUAGCCCUAUGCAGCCAAUUAGCAAAUUCUUGAGAUUAUGGCUAUCCUCCCCAUGAAUGAGUAGCAGGAAAUUGUGCUGGAAAGAAUUCCGAAAGCAGCCCAAGUCCACCGGACCAAGUGAAUCUACUAGCGAAGUCACCUUGCACACCUCGACCAUCAUGCUCAGAGGAGAAACGCAUUAGAGUUGACGUGUUAGGGCCACAGUAGUCUCGAUUAAACCGGUAGAAGCAUCGUUACACCAAAUGACCAAAGCAACCGCAUAUUUGACACUAUGUUUGUGAUCGAAAACCAGCCCACUCGAGUCUGCCACAGAACACCCGCCACGUGUCUCUUGCCGAUUUGAGUCGGCCAUCGUAGCAACCAAAUGAGUUUCAACGAGAUCAGUAUGCAUCGAAACCUCACGCUCCGCUCGAGUCUGUUGACUUUCAAACUCCAUGAGAAUGUCGACUAAGCGUUGGAACGGAAGAGGCUCAGUCGAGAAGGAGGCUAAGGUCAACACUGCAUCAAAAUCCGUUGAUAGACCGACCAAAAUAACUUCCACCUUUUCGGCCUCCGAAACCGCCGAUCCAAACGCUGCAAGAAGUGCACAAAUACAUAUUUUUUAUUUUUGCGAUAUAUUCUUUUAUAGAUAAAUCACCUUUCUUUGUAGAGUGCAGGUCAUGCUUAAUACGAGAAAGUUUCGCACCAGUUGAAGCGGCGAACAGACAGUUCGCUGUGCUCCAUAUUUCACAUGUAGAUUUAGCAGAGACGCAUCUAGAUUUGGAGUAAGGACACCGUCUGGAGAUGUGACGAACCUAGGCGGAGCAGAGGUAGAAUCAUCUUAUGGCGCCAUGAUGCAGAAGCGGGAGCAGGUACCAGGACUAGGCGACUGAUACCAUAUUAGAUACUACAUAAUUUUAACAGAAUAGAGAACUAUUUAGAGAAAAGAAUUUUUUUUACUUAGAAACUACUUAGUAUUAUUUCCUUACUUUGAAUCAAUGCACAGCUAGUAUUUAUACAUGAAUAAAA
Molecule: long non-coding RNA, 1018 nt
Organism: Gossypium arboreum
Lineage: Eukaryota; Viridiplantae; Streptophyta; Magnoliopsida; Malvales; Malvaceae
Exons: 3
Source: RefSeq, a predicted model, not a curated record